This 548-nucleotide ribosomal RNA is filed under the name Salmonella enterica. RNAcentral's name for it is "bacterial SSU rRNA". It matches the Rfam family "Bacterial small subunit ribosomal RNA", at positions 997 to 1533 of the family's 1533-position model. The record is from RNAcentral. Lineage: Bacteria; Pseudomonadati; Pseudomonadota; Gammaproteobacteria; Enterobacterales; Enterobacteriaceae. RNAcentral also lists the same sequence under 2 other names.
AAUUCAGAGAUGGAUUUGUGCCUUCGGGAACCGUGAGACAGGUGCUGCAUGGCUGUCGUCAGCUCGUGUUGUGAAAUGUUGGGUUAAGUCCCGCAACGAGCGCAACCCUUAUCCUUUGUUGCCAGCGAUUCGGUCGGGAACUCAAAGGAGACUGCCAGUGAUAAACUGGAGGAAGGUGGGGAUGACGUCAAGUCAUCAUGGCCCUUACGACCAGGGCUACACACGUGCUACAAUGGCGCAUACAAAGAGAAGCGACCUCGCGAGAGCAAGCGGACCUCAUAAAGUGCGUCGUAGUCCGGAUUGGAGUCUGCAACUCGACUCCAUGAAGUCGGAAUCGCUAGUAAUCGUGGAUCAGAAUGCCACGGUGAAUACGUUCCCGGGCCUUGUACACACCGCCCGUCACACCAUGGGAGUGGGUUGCAAAAGAAGUAGGUAGCUUAACCUUCGGGAGGGCGCUUACCACUUUGUGAUUCAUGACUGGGGUGAAGUCGUAACAAGGUAACCGUAGGGGAACCUGCGGUUGGAUCACCUCCUUACGUGAAAGAAGC